This 511-nucleotide ribosomal RNA is filed under the name uncultured Gram-positive bacterium. Its description in RNAcentral is "bacterial SSU rRNA". It matches the Rfam family "Bacterial small subunit ribosomal RNA", at positions 8 to 521 of the family's 1533-position model. The record is from RNAcentral.
AGAGUUUGAUCCUGGCUCAGGAUGAACGCUGGCGGCGUGCUUAACACAUGCAAGUCGAGCGAAGCACUUAUGAUGAUCCUUCGGGUGAAUCAUUUGUGACUGAGCGGCGGACGGGUGAGUAACGCGUGAGUAACCUGCCUCAUACAGGGGAAUAACAGUUAGAAAUGACUGCUAAUGCCGCAUAAGCGCACAGGGCCACAUGGCCUGGUGUGAAAAACUCCGGUGGUAUGAGAUGGACUCGCGUCUGAUUAGCUAGUUGGUGAGGUAACGGCCCACCAAGGCGACGAUCAGUAGCCGGCCUGAGAGGGUGAACGGCCACAUUGGGACUGAGACACGGCCCAAACUCCUACGGGAGGCAGCAGUGGGGAAUAUUGCACAAUGGGGGAAACCCUGAUGCAGCGACGCCGCGUGAGUGAAGAAGUAUUUCGGUAUGUAAAGCUCUAUCAGCAGGGAAGAAAAUGACGGUACCUGACUAAGAAGCCCCGGCUAACUACGUGCCAGCAGCCGCGGU